This 73-nucleotide transfer RNA is filed under the name Rhipicephalus sanguineus (brown dog tick). RNAcentral's name for it is "transfer RNA phenylalanine (anticodon GAA)". It matches the Rfam family "tRNA". Rfam says of the family: Transfer RNA (tRNA) molecules are approximately 80 nucleotides in length. The record is from Rfam by way of RNAcentral. Lineage: Eukaryota; Metazoa; Arthropoda; Arachnida; Ixodida; Ixodidae.
GCCGAAAUAGCUAAGUUGGGAGAGUGUUAGACUGAAGAUCUAAAGGUCCCUGGUUCGAUCCCGGGUUUCGGCA